GCCGCCGUGGCGGAACUGGCAGACGCGCAUGGUUCAGGUCCAUGUGCCCGCAAGGGCGUGGAGGUUCGACUCCUCUCGGCGGUAC
Molecule: transfer RNA, 85 nt
Filed under: Botrimarina hoheduenensis
Lineage: Bacteria; Pseudomonadati; Planctomycetota; Planctomycetia; Pirellulales; Lacipirellulaceae
Description: Planctomycetes bacterium Pla111 tRNA-Ser
Rfam family: tRNA
About the family: Transfer RNA (tRNA) molecules are approximately 80 nucleotides in length. Their secondary structure includes four short double-helical elements and three loops (D, anti-codon, and T loops). Further hydrogen bonds mediate the characteristic L-shaped molecular structure. tRNAs have two regions of fundamental functional importance: the anti-codon, which is responsible for specific mRNA codon recognition, and the 3' end, to which the tRNAs corresponding amino acid is attached (by aminoacyl-tRNA synthetases). tRNAs cope with the degeneracy of the genetic code in two manners: having more than one tRNA (with a specific anti-codon) for a particular amino acid; and 'wobble' base-pairing, i.e. permitting non-standard base-pairing at the 3rd anti-codon position.
Source: RNAcentral